This 488-nucleotide ribosomal RNA is filed under the name uncultured bacterium. Its description in RNAcentral is "partial 16S ribosomal RNA". It matches the Rfam family "Bacterial small subunit ribosomal RNA", at positions 28 to 507 of the family's 1533-position model. The record is from RNAcentral.
GACGAACGCUGGCGGCGUGCUUAACACAUGCAAGUCGAACGAAAAUACCAAGCUUGCUUGGUUGAUUAGUGGCGAACGGGUGAGUAAUACGUGAGUAACCUGCCCCUUACUUUCCUGGAUAACUGCUCGAAAGGGUAGCUAAUACGGGAUAUUCUGACCAGCCUGCAUGGGUUGGUUUGGAAAGGUUGUUUUUCUGGUAAGGGAUGGGCUCGCGGCCUAUCAGCUUGUUGGUGGGGUGAUGGCCUACCAAGGCUUUGACGGGUAGCCGGCCUGAGAGGGUGGACGGUCACACUGGGACUGAGAUACGGCCCAGACUCCUACGGGAGGCAGCAGUGGGGAAUAUUGCACAAUGGGCGCAAGCCUGAUGCAGCGACGCCGCGUGAGGGAUGAAGGCCUUCGGGGUGUAAACCUCUUUCGUCAGGGAACAAGGCACUGCUUUUGUGGUGGUGUUGAGGGUACCUGGAUAAGAAGCGCCGGCUAACUACGUG